Molecule: long non-coding RNA, 493 nt
Organism: Acinonyx jubatus (cheetah)
Lineage: Eukaryota; Metazoa; Chordata; Mammalia; Carnivora; Felidae
Exons: 4
Source: RefSeq, a predicted model, not a curated record
UUUACAUUGCCUCUCCUCACAGGCAGGAAUCUGGCUAUCACUCAUCCUCCUGGAUCUCCAAGUGCUGGGUCAGCUGACCUCCAAAGCUCCAGGAUCUGAACACAAAGAAAAUAAAAACGCCCUGGAAGACAAGUGUGAUGCAUUGAGGUCUGUGAAAGCCACAAAGGAAGCAAAAGUCAAACAGCUGAAGGAGAAAGCAUAUAACCUGGAAGAAUUCUAUGAACAAAGAAAAGUGCCUACAAAAAAGAAGCUGAAAAUGACACUGUGAACUGGCGGCAAAGAAGAAUCAGCUGGCAGCUGCAGAUCUCAAGUAGUGGCCAGACUGUGUGGAAACUUUGUCCAUGCUAACAUUCCUCGGGGGUGGUGUCAAUUGUCAUAAUAUGUAGGAAAGCAGUGUGUCGUACAAUGAAUCAUACCCAUCAAUGUGGUAGUACCACUUCAUGGCCCUCGUCUUUGCAACCCUGGGAAACAUGGUGAGGACAUAAGUUAUAGA